GACGAACGCUGGCGGCGUGCUUAACACAUGCAAGUCGAACGGAAAGGCCCUGCUCUUGUGGGGUGCUCGAGUGGCGAACGGGUGAGUAACACGUGAGUAACCUGCCCUUGACUUUGGGAUAACUUCAGGAAACUGGGGCUAAUACCGGAUAGGAGCUCCUGCUGCAUGGUGGGGGUUGGAAAGUUUCGGCGGUUGGGGAUGGACUCGCGGCUUAUCAGCUUGUUGGUGGGGUAGUGGCUUACCAAGGCUUUGACGGGUAGCCGGCCUGAGAGGGUGACCGGCGACAUUGGGACUGAGAGAAGGCAGAGGCUCGUACGGGGGGCAGCAGUGGGAAAUAUUGCACAAGGAGCGGAAGCCUGAUGCAGAAGCGCCGCGUGCGGGAAGACGGUCUUCGGGUUGUAAACCGCUUUCGCCUGUGACGAAGCGUGAGUGACGGUAAUGGGUAAAGAAGCACCGGCUAAAUUCGUG
RNAcentral lists this ribosomal RNA (468 nucleotides) under uncultured bacterium. RNAcentral describes it as "partial 16S ribosomal RNA". It matches the Rfam family "Bacterial small subunit ribosomal RNA", at positions 28 to 507 of the family's 1533-position model. The record is from RNAcentral.